AGGGGGGGUGAAUAGGAGAUUUUUAGAAUUUCAUCACUGAGGAAAUUCCUUUUGAGGAAAUUCCUCACUGAUGACUAACUUACAGCGGAAACAGUAAAGGAUCAGAAGUGUAAAGUUUCACAACAGCAGUUUUUCAGUGUGAGGAAUGUGAAAACAGAUUGCACAGUGAGCAGGCACGCAGAAAAUAGAUGAGGAUUAACUAGCGUGAAGAAUUUGGGGUUGAGGAAUUUCAGAGAAAGUGUUCGGCAAAUUCUUCA
Molecule: long non-coding RNA, 257 nt
Filed under: Hordeum vulgare
Lineage: Eukaryota; Viridiplantae; Streptophyta; Magnoliopsida; Poales; Poaceae
Description: long non-coding RNA (HVUL_LNC005106)
Source: RNAcentral